This 717-nucleotide long non-coding RNA is filed under the name Sorghum bicolor (sorghum). RNAcentral's name for it is "long non-coding RNA (SBIC_LNC011055)". The record is from RNAcentral. Lineage: Eukaryota; Viridiplantae; Streptophyta; Magnoliopsida; Poales; Poaceae.
UUUUUGUAUAUUUUUUUAAAGAAAGUUAGCAUACCUUUUUAUCCUCAUAGGUUCUUCUCAGAUCACUCAUUAUCUUUCAUAUAUCUCACUGAGGUUGUUUUAUGUUGCAAAAAAUUCUCAAGCAUACUCACUUUGCAUUUAUUGCCUGAUCAAAACGGGAUCCGAGGAGGGGAAUGUCAUACUCUUAGAUCAAAGACUUUGAAAAUUAAAAUCUUUGUCAACUCUUGCUGGCAUAUUGCUUAUUAGAGGGACCAUGGGCUAUCAUUUUUUUCUUUCUCUCUUCCUCCUUUUUUUUAAGUGGAUACCGAGGUACCCCUAAUUCUACUGCCGGACACUUGUCCAUUUUUUUCUGCGAGGUUGUCGAGCACUUGCUCCUUUUUAUUUCCUCGAAAUAUCUCUAUUUUUGCAUAGCCCAUGCCUCUAAUGCAAUAAUACUUCGGAAGAGUGAAUCUCUCUGAAUAAAUGUCUUGAUCUUAGGAGCAUGAUAAAUCUCUCAACAAGGGUCUAACUCAUUUUGAACAAACUCAAUACAGAGUAGAUAGCUUUUAUAAUUAUAAUUAAUAUUUUCAGUUUUAUCAGGCAUAUAAAACACUGAGGAUGGUAGCUAGAGUUUUGAAUAUUUUGAAAUAAAUUCUCCAAGCAACAAUGAUAUCAAGAAUAAGAAACUCAUACUCUACCAUCACAUAUUCCAUAAUGACUUAAGUAACACAGGGUUUG